UGCCAGCAGCCGCGGUAAUACGAAGGGGGCUAGCGUUGUUCGGAAUUACUGGGCGUAAAGAGUACGUAGGUGGUUUGUAAGUCGGAUGUGAAAUCCCUGGGCUUAACCUGGGAACUGCAUUCGAUACUGCAUGGCUAGAGUAUGGUAGAGGGAAGUGGAAUUUCCGGUGUAGCGGUGAAAUGCGUAGAUAUCGGAAGGAACACCAGUGGCGAAGGCGACUACCUGGACCGAUAUUGACACUGAGGUGCGAAAGCGUGGGGAGCAAACAGGAUUAGAUA
Molecule: ribosomal RNA, 278 nt
Filed under: uncultured bacterium
Lineage: Bacteria
Description: partial 16S ribosomal RNA
Rfam family: Bacterial small subunit ribosomal RNA
Source: RNAcentral